AAAGUCGUAACAAGGUUUCCGUAGGUGAACCUGCGGAAGGAUCAUCAUCGAAUUCAUAUCCCUCUCCAUCGCGGACUGGGACUCAUGAUAAACCCUUCUGUGCACUGUAAACCGUUCACUUUGGCUGGCUUUGGUGGUGAGCGUGAGCUCGCCUCCAACCUCGCGUUCCCUCCCCUUAGGGGGUUACGCGCGGCGGCCUGCCGAAGUCCUCCCAUGAAAAACACGUUUUUGAACACGACUGAAAAAAUUUCCUUUGAGAAAUCAAAGAACCGAAAACAACUUUCAACAACGGAUCUCUUGGCUCUC
This 306-nucleotide unclassified non-coding RNA is filed under the name Glomeromycotina sp. Its description in RNAcentral is "partial contains small subunit ribosomal RNA, internal transcribed spacer 1, and 5.8S ribosomal RNA". The stretch from base 1 to 47 matches the Rfam family "Eukaryotic small subunit ribosomal RNA", at positions 1785 to 1831 of the family's 1831-position model. The record is from RNAcentral. Lineage: Eukaryota; Fungi; Glomeromycota.